GACGUAGGGCGCGAGCGUUGUCCGGAUUUAUUGGGCGUAAAGAGCUCGUAGGCGGUUUGUCGCGUCUGCCGUGAAAGUCCGGGGCUCAACUCCGGAUCUGCGGUGGGUACGGGCAGACUAGAGUGAUGUAGGGGAGACUGGAAUUCCUGGUGUAGCGGUGAAAUGCGCAGAUAUCAGGAGGAACACCGAUGGCGAAGGCAGCCCCCUGGGCCUGCACUGACGCUCAUGCACGAAAGCGUGGGGAGCAAACAGG
RNAcentral lists this ribosomal RNA (253 nucleotides) under uncultured bacterium. RNAcentral's name for it is "partial 16S ribosomal RNA". It matches the Rfam family "Bacterial small subunit ribosomal RNA", at positions 524 to 776 of the family's 1533-position model. The record is from RNAcentral.